UUUACUAGGUUAGAGGGUUUUCAACGCUCGAUCCAGAGGAGAAGGCUAGGGCAGCCGAGCGUAAAGGGGAGAGAGGCGGCGAGAGAGAGGGUAGGCGACGGCGUAGAGGAGAAGCGGCCACGGUUCCUCUUCUUGUUCUCUAGUCGAUCGAUCUCCUUCUUCUUGUUCUCUCUGUUGGAUCAAAACAAAACAUAAACACGACAACCCUAGUUCUCUAGUCGAUCGAUCUCGUCUAUAUGUCAUUUUUCACGGAAACCUCCAGCCUCGAUCGACAAGACACACAUACAUACGUUUUAUAUCCUGGAGUACUUACAACUGUUACCUCAUGUGUAUCAUCAUGUACCUAAAAGUAAACAAAAGAAAGGGACAAAUCGACGGAGAAACUAAGUUUCCUAGA
Molecule: ribosomal RNA, 397 nt
Filed under: Triticum aestivum (bread wheat)
Lineage: Eukaryota; Viridiplantae; Streptophyta; Magnoliopsida; Poales; Poaceae
Description: partial small subunit ribosomal RNA
Source: RNAcentral